RNAcentral lists this ribosomal RNA (468 nucleotides) under uncultured bacterium. Its description in RNAcentral is "partial 16S ribosomal RNA". It matches the Rfam family "Bacterial small subunit ribosomal RNA", at positions 28 to 507 of the family's 1533-position model. The record is from RNAcentral.
GACGAACGCUGGCGGCGUGCUUAACACAUGCAAGUCGAACGGAAAGGCCCUGCUUUUGUGGGGUGCUCGAGUGGCGAACGGGUGAGUAACACGUGAGUAACCUGCCCUUGACUUUGGGAUAACUUCAGGAAACUGGGGCUAAUACCGGAUAGGAGCUCCUGCUGCAUGGUGGGGGUUGGAAAGUUUCGGCGGUUGGGGAUGGACUCGCGGCUUAUCAGCUUGUUGGUGGGGUAGUGGUUUACCAAGGCUUUGACGGGUAGCCGGCCUGAGAGGGUGACCGGCCACAAUGGGACUGAGAUACGGCCCAGACGCCUACGGGAGGCAGCAGUGGGGAAUAUUGCACAAUGGGCGGAAGCCUGAUGCAGCAACGCCGCGUGCGGGAUGACGGCCUUCGAGUUGUAAACCGCUUUCGCCUGUGACGAAGCGUGAGUGACGGUAAUGGGUAAAGAAGCACCGGCUAACUACGUG